This 447-nucleotide ribosomal RNA is filed under the name uncultured Rhodoferax sp. RNAcentral describes it as "bacterial SSU rRNA". It matches the Rfam family "Bacterial small subunit ribosomal RNA", at positions 930 to 1382 of the family's 1533-position model. The record is from RNAcentral. Lineage: Bacteria; Pseudomonadati; Pseudomonadota; Betaproteobacteria; Burkholderiales; Comamonadaceae.
CGGUGGAUGAUGUGGUUAAUUCGAUGCAACGCGAAAACUUACCACCUUUGACAUGUACGGAACCCUUUAGAGAUAGAGGGUGCUCGAAAGAGAGCCGUAACACAGGUGCUGCAUGGCUGUCGUCAGCUCGUGUCGUGAGAUGUUGGGUUAAGUCCCGCAACGAGCGCAACCCUUGUCAUUAGUUGCUACAUUCAGUUGGGCACUCUAAUGAGACUGCCGGUGACAAGCCGGAGGAAGGUGGGGAUGACGUCAAGUCCUCAUGGCCCUUAUAGGUGGGGCUACACACGUCAUACAAUGGCUGGUACAAAGGGUUGCCAACCCGCGAGGGGGAGCCAAUCCCAUAAAGCCAGUCGUAGUCCGGAUCGUAGUCUGCAACUCGACUACGUGAGGUCGGAAUCGCUAGUAAUCGUGGAUCAGAAUGUCACGGUGAAUACGUUCCCGGGCCUU